CCCUUAGAUGUUCUGGGCGGCCCGCGCACUACAAUGGCGUGUGCAGCGAGUGCCGAAGUAGAGUUUUCCGAGGUAUUCUUGCAAUGCUCGUUUUGAUGGGGAUAGACCCUUGCAACUGUUGGCUUUGAACGAGGAAUUCCUUGUAAGCAUGGUUUAUCAUCCGACGCUGAAUGCGUCCCUGCCCUUUGUACACACCGCCCGUCGCUCCUACCGAUGAGUCGUCCGGUGAAGUUCGUAGACCUCGUGAUCGCGGAUCACUGGGGGAAGCAAAAUGAACCUCGCGGUUUAGAGGAAGGAGAAGUCGUAACA
RNAcentral lists this ribosomal RNA (309 nucleotides) under uncultured eukaryote. RNAcentral describes it as "partial 18S ribosomal RNA". It matches the Rfam family "Eukaryotic small subunit ribosomal RNA", at positions 1470 to 1796 of the family's 1831-position model. The record is from RNAcentral.